UACGGAGGGAGCUAGCGUUGUUCGGAAUUACUGGGCGUAAAGCGUACGUAGGCGGUUUUUCAAGUCAGAGGUGAAAGCCCGGGGCUCAACCCCGGAACGGCCUUUGAAACUAGAUAGCUAGAGUCUUGGAGAGGUUAGUGGAAUUCCGAGUGUAGAGGUGAAAUUCGUAGAUAUUCGGAAGAACACCAGUGGCGAAGGCGACUAACUGGACAAGUACUGACGCUGAGGUACGAAAGCGUGGGGAGCAAACAGG
Molecule: ribosomal RNA, 253 nt
Filed under: uncultured bacterium
Lineage: Bacteria
Description: partial 16S ribosomal RNA
Rfam family: Bacterial small subunit ribosomal RNA
Source: RNAcentral